RNAcentral lists this small nuclear RNA (160 nucleotides) under Notamacropus eugenii (tammar wallaby). RNAcentral describes it as "U1 spliceosomal RNA (ENSMEUG00000017173.1)". It matches the Rfam family "U1 spliceosomal RNA". Rfam says of the family: U1 is a small nuclear RNA (snRNA) component of the spliceosome (involved in pre-mRNA splicing). Its 5' end forms complementary base pairs with the 5' splice junction, thus defining the 5' donor site of an intron. There are significant differences in sequence and secondary structure between metazoan and yeast U1 snRNAs, the latter being much longer (568 nucleotides as compared to 164 nucleotides in human). Lineage: Eukaryota; Metazoa; Chordata; Mammalia; Diprotodontia; Macropodidae. The record is from RNAcentral.
AUUCUUCUUUUAGGGGUGAUUUCAUGAUCACGAAGGCAGUUUCCCCAGGGUGAGGCUUACGCAUUGCACUCCAGAUGGGCUGACCUCUGUGAUUUCCCCAAAUUCAGGAAACUUGAUUGCAUAAUUUGUGGUAGUGGGAGACUGUUUGUACUCUCUCCUA